AUUUCAAAAAUUGAAGUUAUUUUUGUCAGUGAGGAAACUACAAUAAAAAUUAAGGACAAGAAGACCCUAAGAAUUUUUAAUAAUUUAAAAAAAGUUUUUUUUAAAUUAUUUUAAUUGGGGCGAUUAACAAAAAUAAGAAACUUUAUUUUUCCAAAAAAAUGAACCAUUAAUAAUGGUCAUAUGGAAAAAAUACUCUAGGGAUAACAGCGUAAUAAUUUUAGAUAGUUCUUAUAGACAAAAUAGUUUGCGACCUCGAUGUUGGAUUAGGAUUCUUAUUUAAUGAAGAAGUUAAAAAAAGAAGUUUGUUCAACUUUUAAAAUCCUACUUGAUCUGAGUUCAGACCGG
Molecule: ribosomal RNA, 345 nt
Filed under: Amblyomma variegatum (tropical bont tick)
Lineage: Eukaryota; Metazoa; Arthropoda; Arachnida; Ixodida; Ixodidae
Description: partial 16S ribosomal RNA
Rfam family: Bacterial large subunit ribosomal RNA (bases 54-345)
Source: RNAcentral